CGCCCAUAUUUUCCUUUCAUAUUCUCUUGGAAAGAAAAGAAGAGGAGAGGAAGGGAAAAAAAAACGAUUUUUUCUGUAAGAAAUUUCAGAUGAUGAUGCUUUUGCAAGAAGAGAACUACAAGGUCUGUUCAGACACGUUUUAGCGACAAAUCAGUUGGUCAGACAUGAAGAGCGUGAACAUUAAUAAUACUUGAGUUGUAGAAAAAAUCCGUGCAUAGUAAAAACUUCAACAGGACAAUUGUUGGGGGUAGCCCAAGGAAAGGACGACACGAGUAAACCAGCUUUGGAUAAGGAAGGAUCAGCCAUUGGGUUCAAGAAAACUUUUCGUUUUCAUGAAGAAAGUACUACUGGUGUGUACUGGAUUAUGAAAGAAUACAGCCUUAACGAAACCAUAAUGGAGGGGUUAAGACAACAUGGAGAAAUCCGACAUGAAGACUCUAUCAUUACGAGGAAGGUUAGUUUGUGUAAAAAUUCUCAGGAUGUCCCCUCGGGAAUCAAGAAUGUAGCUGCCAAUCCAUGGCCGCUAUAUCCCGCUUUAACUGCACUUCCACCAUUUACUGGACCUUUUGAGUCCUUAACUGAAGAAGAAUUGGCCUUCUUUGAUAAGCCUGAUCUUGGAUAUCCACAAGCAUACAAGAACAAGAAAGAAUGAUAAGAGUAGAAAGUAUGAACCAUGUAGUAUAUAGCACAUUCAACUACCUAGUGGUUAUAGUUAGA
This is a long non-coding RNA of Lycium barbarum (goji berry), 717 nucleotides long. RefSeq lists it as uncharacterized. The transcript is spliced from 3 exons. The record is from RefSeq and is a predicted model, not a curated record. Lineage: Eukaryota; Viridiplantae; Streptophyta; Magnoliopsida; Solanales; Solanaceae.